ACCAGGAUCUGUGUUCCAAACUGUCACGUAGAGCGGGGACAUUCAAUCCCUCACCGACAACAAGACAGCACAACAAAACAGCCGCCUUUGUCCUUGUAUUCAGAGAUUCCUGGGAAUAAAAGAUCAGCAACGAAAAGAGUCACGAUACGGGCCUGUGAAAUAUAAACACUUCUAUCCAAAGACAGGACUUGCAGGCUGACAACAGACACAGCCAGCCUCUCCAUUCCUCCUGAGACAAAAGGGCACUUCCAUUCUACCAGCAUAUGCGUGUGUGUGUGUGUCUUUCAUGCUUGUGUGUUCUUUUGGCUCCUGUUCCUGAUGGGCCCCAGAUGGGUACGCAGGCAGGCAGCUCUGCCUUUUGGCUUUGACAUGUGAACGAGUAGCAAGUCGGCCCAGGGUCACUGAACUGCACCUUUCCUCCUCGUCCUCCCACUGUCAUCCCAACUCCCCAAGAGCCACAGGCACUCGCACAAAUCCAACCGUUCUCUCUUUUCUUAGGCUUGUGAUUGCAAAUGCAAAGCCUUGCCUUGUUUUUUUGCAAUGUGGAUUGGCCUGUUAGAAUUGUGCUUGAGUAUUUCUGGUAAAAAGAAAUCUGUCAUAAUGGCCUGCUCUCCAGCUCCUGCGUCCGUCUCACAUGUCGCUGAAUUGCAUCAAACUACCUCGAAAAUGAAUGAAGUGGAGUCCUUGUAUGAAGGCCCCUUUGAAGCCGGGCUGCCCACAACAGCUCGAACAAAACCUACACCCAUCACACACUCCUCGUCAGCACAGCAAACAGCACCUCCGCAAAUAUCCUCCUUCAUCCUUGUAACAAACGUGCGCGCACACACGUGCCUUUCAACACAACACAAGGCAGAAAAACACGACACAAUAUGCUAUGUGGAAGUCUGCAUGUUCUGAUAUAUGAGUGAUGAGGAGGAUUUCCAUCAGCCUAUUUUAGGCACAUUGGAUGGUGACAGAAGAUUUGGAAUUUUUCUCCAGGGGAGGUGGAAAAGUCGCAGUACGUAUGAAAGGUAAAUGCAAAUAAGUCCGACGUGUGAUCACAUGACCGAAACGUCCCUUCUGCUGUCACAAUUUGGUUCUCUGGAAAAAUAGAGAGAGAUUGUGGGAAGAGCAUGCGAGAGGAGGUCUGUGCGGAGUAGACUGACGAGGAAACUACAACGUGCCUGGACUUUGUGCAACAAACAAAUAUAACUUCAAUCAAGGUUGGAAACAGCAACAAAACGCCCCCAUGUGUCAAUAGCUACUGGCACCAUUUAGUGACAUUAUUAUCCUUCUAUAGUGGCUCUGACUUUCAUGCCAUCGAACACAUAUUUCUGCCAAUAUUCACACAACAGCGGUGGAUGGAAAAUAAAAAAACACCUACUGACGCUCUCACCAGACAAUUGUCGCAUUUAAAUUUCCAUCGCUGCAAUGUGGACAAAACUGAAGCUGUAAUUUUAACAAUAUUUUAGAUGACAAGAGCGUUUGUCCCUGUCGUGAUUUGACAAUAUAGCAGUGGCUGUGGAGCAAAUUAAAGGCAAAAGUGUAAACAGCAAGCUGACAGUAAAGCCCACAUUUAAAACACUUAAGUAUUUUUCAUUUAAACAAUCCCUCAGACAGUCUUGUUUUCCAAGUUGUAUAAACACAGGACCUGUAUUUCAACCGUGCCAGCCUUUUUCCCCCAGUGUUUUUAGCUGCAUGGGAAACAUUUCAACGUUUCAGGAGAACGCUGUUGUGCUGACUGUUGCGGAUUGGGCAAACACAAGACUCCAUAGUGAGUUCCUAAGUAAGUAAGCAAGCAGUAACUGCCUAGAUAAUGGGACUCUGGGUGGAAAAAAAAUAACUUUAUUAGGUAAGGUACUGUCUGCCAAAGAAAUAAGCCGCAUGUUUUUAAUUCAUUAACAGCUGUUUCUGCAAAAAUGUAUCCCGCUGCACAUACUGUAUACAUGCAAAUUAUACAGUCCAUGAGUCUGCGGCUCAUAUUAAAUUUAAGAAUCUUCCAACUACUAGACUCAAAUGUAGUUUUGCAGGUGCAUCCUGUUUCCUCACUUUACAUGACUUGAUUAGUGUGAAUGCAAAUAUGUCUUUGAUUGAAAGAAACUGAGCUUUAUUUAUGUCUGAACCUCAGAGAUAAACUUGAGCAAACGUGAGUUGUGGCAUCUCCUGUGGGCCGUAAGUAUCAAAAGAAGAGGGCUGGCGAGCACAGGAAAAAGGGAGAAUACAUAUUCAUGUUAUGCUCUGUGUGCAAAAUAAUUGGCAAUAAAAGAACACCUGGUUUGAAGAGUGA
Long non-coding RNA from Solea senegalensis (Senegalese sole), 2266 nucleotides. RefSeq lists it as uncharacterized. The transcript is spliced from 2 exons. The record is from RefSeq and is a predicted model, not a curated record. Lineage: Eukaryota; Metazoa; Chordata; Actinopteri; Pleuronectiformes; Soleidae.